RNAcentral lists this non-coding RNA (221 nucleotides) under Clostridium disporicum. RNAcentral's name for it is "T-box sequence". It matches the Rfam family "T-box leader". Rfam says of the family: Uncharged tRNA acts as the effector for transcription antitermination of genes in the T-box leader family. T-boxes are found upstream of many aminoacyl-tRNA synthetase genes and some amino acid biosynthetic genes usually in Gram-positive bacteria. Lineage: Bacteria; Bacillati; Bacillota; Clostridia; Eubacteriales; Clostridiaceae. The record is from RNAcentral.
AAAAAUACUAUGAUUGAGAGAGUAGAUAUAAAGACUUUUUCAGGGAGAAAAGGUCAUGACUGUAAGCCUUUUUAUUAGAAUUUAUAUUGAAGUUCGCUCAGGAGUACUAGCUGUGAAACAAAGUAGUAGCUAGCGGUUUUUGCCGUUAUUAAAAUUAAGUUGGAUAUUUGUUUUAUAAUAAAUAUCAAUUAGGGUGGUAACGCGGAUAUUCCGUCCCUUUG